GAGUAAUGUCUGGGAAACUGCCUGAUGGAGGGGGAUAACUACUGGAAACGGUAGCUAAUACCGCAUAACGUCGCAAGACCAAAGAGGGGGACCUUCGGGCCUCUUGCCAUCGGAUGUGCCCAGAUGGGAUUAGCUAGUAGGUGGGGUAACGGCUCACCUAGGCGACGAUCCCUAGCUGGUCUGAGAGGAUGACCAGCCACACUGGAACUGAGACACGGUCCAGACUCCUACGGGAGGCAGCAGUGGGGAAUAUUGCACAAUGGGCGCAAGCCUGAUGCAGCCA
RNAcentral lists this ribosomal RNA (283 nucleotides) under Escherichia coli. Its description in RNAcentral is "partial 16S ribosomal RNA". It matches the Rfam family "Bacterial small subunit ribosomal RNA", at positions 108 to 394 of the family's 1533-position model. The record is from RNAcentral. Lineage: Bacteria; Pseudomonadati; Pseudomonadota; Gammaproteobacteria; Enterobacterales; Enterobacteriaceae.